GAUGAACGCUAGCUACAGGCUUAACACAUGCAAGUCGAGGGGCAGCAUGAAAGGAACUUCGGUUCUUUUUGAUGGCGACCGGCGCACGGGUGCGUAACGCGUAUCGAACCUGCCUCAUACUCGGGGAUAGCCUUGCGAAAGUAAGAUUAAUACCCGGCGGUCUCGGAUGGCCGCAUGACUGUCCGAGUGAAGAUUUAUCGGUAUGAGAUGGCGAUGCGUCCCAUUAGCUUGUUGGUGAGGUAACGGCUCACCAAGGCAUCGAUGGAUAGGGGUUCUGAGAGGAAGGUCCCCCACAUUGGAACUGAGACACGGUCCAAACUCCUACGGGAGGCAGCAGUGAGGAAUAUUGGUCAAUGGACGAGAGUCUGAACCAGCCAAGUAGCGUGAAGGAUGACUGCCCUAUGGGUUGUAAACUUCUUUUAUAUGGGAAUAAAGUUUUCCACGUGUGGAAUUUUGUAUGUACCAUAUGAAUAAGGAUCGGCUAACUCCGUGCCAGCAGCCGCGGUAAUACGGAGGAUCCGAGCGUUAUCCGGAUUUAUUGGGUUUAAAGGGAGCGUAGGUGGACAGUUAAGUCAGUUGUGAAAGUUUGCGGCUCAACCGUAAAAUUGCAGUUGAUACUGGCUGUCUUGAGUACAGUAGAGGUGGGCGGAAUUCGUGGUGUAGCGGUGAAAUGCUUAGAUAUCACGAAGAACUCCGAUUGCGAAGGCAGCUCACUGGACUGCAACUGACACUGAUGCUCGAAAGUGUGGGUAUCAAACCAGG
This 762-nucleotide ribosomal RNA is filed under the name uncultured bacterium. RNAcentral describes it as "bacterial SSU rRNA". It matches the Rfam family "Bacterial small subunit ribosomal RNA", at positions 28 to 777 of the family's 1533-position model. The record is from RNAcentral.